Molecule: long non-coding RNA, 552 nt
Organism: Bradysia coprophila
Lineage: Eukaryota; Metazoa; Arthropoda; Insecta; Diptera; Sciaridae
Source: RefSeq, a predicted model, not a curated record
UUUUGGGUCGAUGCACAAAUAAUAGCGGACAUUUUGAUAUAAAAGGGUGGCCUUUCUGAUGACAGAUCAUUAUUCAUUUACCUGUCUAAGAUAAUAGAAAUCAAUUUUUCAACAUGCAUGCAAUUAGUACAAUUCUAGCAUUGCUUCUGGUACUGUUCGCAAGCUUCCACAUUCAAUUCACUGCAGGCGAAUGCAUUCCAAUUGGGGGAUCGUGCCAAUGGGAUGGACCAUCUCCAUACUGUUGCCCAGGAGCUGGCGGUAAACAAUUUUGUUUACAACAACCGAACACCCCGCAAAUGAGUGGUGUCUGUCAGUGAAAGUAUGUUGAACAGGUAUGGUCUAAUGUUGGCUCGGAGAACAUACUUAGCGGUUUUGUAAAAACACUCAUUUUUAUAUUAUUUCGACCAAAAAUUGCGAGUGCGUUCAAGAGUCAGUGCCAAUUGACCAUACCUAUUUUAUGCUUGGUGUUUUCAACAUACAGAUCGUAAACCAUUCUACGAACUUUUUCAUUUUUUGUGUCUGUUUUUCGUUGAAUAAAAUUGAAUGAACAAU